Molecule: ribosomal RNA, 292 nt
Filed under: uncultured bacterium
Lineage: Bacteria
Description: partial 16S ribosomal RNA
Rfam family: Bacterial small subunit ribosomal RNA
Source: RNAcentral
GUGACAGCCGCCGCGGUAAGACGUAGGGAGCGAGCGUUGUCCGGAUUCAUUGGGCGUAAAGCGCGCGUAGGCGGCCGUGCAAGUCGGUUGUGAAAUCCCGUGGCUCAACCACGGGACUGCGUCCGAUACUGCAUGGCUCGAGGCAGGUAGGGGAGAGUGGAAUUCCCGGUGUAGCGGUGAAAUGCGUAGAUAUUGGGAGGAAUACCAGUGGCGAAGGCGGCUCCCUGGACCGGUACUGACGCUGAGGCGCGAAAGCGUGGGUAGCAAACAGGAUUAGAUACCCGAGUAGUCC